Topomyia yanbarensis is the source of this 139-nucleotide small nuclear RNA. RefSeq annotates it as U4 spliceosomal RNA. The record is from RefSeq and is a predicted model, not a curated record. NCBI's taxonomy places the organism in Eukaryota, Metazoa, Arthropoda, Insecta, Diptera, Culicidae. The transcript has a single exon.
UGCUUUGCGCAGUGGCGAUAUCGUAACCAAUGAGGUACAACCGAGGUGCGAUUAUUGCUAAUUGAAAACUAAUACCAAAAGCUACACGUUUAAAAGGUGUAGAAGACGCUAAAUCGAAAUGAGUAGAAAAAUAUCCAUA